GGGGGCGUUCCUGGAUUCGACGGGGAUGACAAGGCUCCAGGUGCAUGUCGAGGAUGAAAGAACCUCGUAAAUCCCUUUCAACCUAAUAGUUGCAAACGACGAC
This 103-nucleotide transfer-messenger RNA is filed under the name Cardiobacterium sp. RNAcentral describes it as "partial transfer-messenger RNA". It matches the Rfam family "transfer-messenger RNA", at positions 1 to 104 of the family's 374-position model. Rfam says of the family: Bacterial tmRNA, also known as 10Sa RNA or SsrA, is named for its dual tRNA and mRNA-like properties. The record is from RNAcentral. Lineage: Bacteria; Pseudomonadati; Pseudomonadota; Gammaproteobacteria; Cardiobacteriales; Cardiobacteriaceae.